Molecule: transfer RNA, 71 nt
Filed under: Synodus kaianus (Gunther's lizard fish)
Lineage: Eukaryota; Metazoa; Chordata; Actinopteri; Aulopiformes; Synodontidae
Description: tRNA-Gly
Rfam family: tRNA
About the family: Transfer RNA (tRNA) molecules are approximately 80 nucleotides in length. Their secondary structure includes four short double-helical elements and three loops (D, anti-codon, and T loops).
Source: RNAcentral
AUCUUUUUAGUACAAAGCGAGUAUACUUGGCUUCCAACCAGAUGGUCUUGGUUAAACCCCAAGAGAAGAUA